This 228-nucleotide long non-coding RNA is filed under the name Lathyrus oleraceus (garden pea). RNAcentral's name for it is "Pisum sativum (pea) long non-coding RNA (PSAT_LNC017639)". The record is from RNAcentral. Lineage: Eukaryota; Viridiplantae; Streptophyta; Magnoliopsida; Fabales; Fabaceae.
ACAACAAAAUGGGUGUAGUUUAUAACUCCAAGGACAAGACUCUCCGGUACUUAGAUGAUGAAGUUGAGAAUACUUUCUCUAUUUUUUUAUUUCAAUUAUAUUUUUCCCUUCUUUUUUAUUAUGCCAAAGGGGGAGAAGAUAUUACAUAUGUGUGUAUGCUUGCAGUCUAACUUUUUCAGGAAGAACCAAAGUUGUCAAAUUUAGGGGGAGUUAUCCAAGCAUAUAAUU